This 253-nucleotide ribosomal RNA is filed under the name uncultured bacterium. RNAcentral describes it as "partial 16S ribosomal RNA". It matches the Rfam family "Bacterial small subunit ribosomal RNA", at positions 524 to 776 of the family's 1533-position model. The record is from RNAcentral.
UACGAAGGGUGCAAACGUUAUUCGGAAUCACUGGGCGUAAAGGGUGCGUAGACGGCUUAUUAAGUUCGUUGUUAAAGGCUCCGGCCCAACCGGAGUAUUGCGAUGAAAACUGGUAAACUAGAGGAUGAGAGAGAGAAGUGGAAUUCCCGGAGUAGCGGUAAAAUGCGUGGAUCUCGGGAGGAACACCAAUGGCGAAGGCAGCUUCUUGGCUCAUAUCUGACGUUGAGGCACGAAAGCGUGGGGAGCAAACGGG